AGCGAGACUGCCUGGGUUAACCAGGAGGAAGGUGGGGAUGACGUCAAAUCAUCAUGCCCCUUAUGUGUAGGGCUACACACGUGCUACAAUGGCUGGUACAGAGAGAUGCAAUACCGCGAGGUGGAGCCAAACUUAAAAACCAGUCUCAGUUCGGAUUGUAGGCUGAAACUCGCCUACAUGAAGCUGGAGUUACUAGUAAUCGCGAAUCAGAAUGUCGCGGUGAAUACGUUCCCGGGUCUUGUACACACCGCCCGUCACACCAUGAGAGUUGGCAAUACCCGAAGUCCGUGAGCUAACCGCAAGGAGGCAGCGGCCGAAGGUAGGGUCAGCGAUUGGGGUGAAGUCGUAACAAGGUAGCCGUAGGAGAACCUGCGGCUGGAUCACCUCCUUUCUAAGGAA
RNAcentral lists this ribosomal RNA (399 nucleotides) under Clostridium perfringens. RNAcentral describes it as "bacterial SSU rRNA". It matches the Rfam family "Bacterial small subunit ribosomal RNA", at positions 1142 to 1533 of the family's 1533-position model. Lineage: Bacteria; Bacillati; Bacillota; Clostridia; Eubacteriales; Clostridiaceae. The record is from RNAcentral.